RNAcentral lists this ribosomal RNA (1011 nucleotides) under Microbacterium paraoxydans. RNAcentral describes it as "bacterial SSU rRNA". It matches the Rfam family "Bacterial small subunit ribosomal RNA", at positions 459 to 1468 of the family's 1533-position model. The record is from RNAcentral. Lineage: Bacteria; Bacillati; Actinomycetota; Actinomycetes; Micrococcales; Microbacteriaceae.
AACCGUAAGGUUCCCGGUCCCCAAAAAAUAAGCCGGGUUAUUUGGUGCCGAGAGCCGCGGAAAUGUAAGGGGCGCCAAAGUUUUCUGGAAUUAUUCUGGGUGUAGAGCUUGUAAUACGGGUUUUCCAUCUGCGGUGAAAUACCGAGGGUCUAACUCUGGGCACCACAGUGUAUGCGCAUGCCUAGAACCGGGUUAGAAGAUUGGAAUUCCCGGUGUAUCGCUGGAAUGCGCAGAUAUCUCGAGGGGCACCGACGGCGAAAGCAGAUCUCUGGGCCGUAACUGUCGCUGAGGAGCGAAAAAGCGGGGAGCACACACGCUUUGAUACCCUGGUAGUGUCCCCCGUAAACGUUGUGAGCUAGUGAUGGGGUGCAUAAUACGGAUUCCGUGAUCGCAGCUAACGCAUUAAGUUCGCCGCCUGGGGAGUACGGUCGCAAGGCUAAAACUCAAAGGAAUUGACGGGGGCCCGCACAAGCGGCGGAGCAUGCGGAUUAAUUCGAUGCAACGCGAAGAACCUUACCAAGGCUUGACAUAUCCGAGAACGGGCCAGAAAUGGUCAACUCUUUGGACACUUGUAAACAGGUGGUGCAUGGUCGUCGUCAGCUCGUGUCCUGAGAUGGUUGGGUUAAUUCCGCCACGAGCGCCACCCUCGUUCUAUGUUGGCCGCCCGUAAUGGUGGGAACUCAUAAGAUGCUGCCGGGGUCAACUCGGAGGAAGGUGGGGAUGACGUCAAAUCAUCAUGCCCCUUAUGUCUUAGGCUUCACGCACGCUCACAAUGGGUGGGAAAGGGCUGCAAAGCCGGAGACGGAAGACAAUCCAAAGAACCGGUAUCCAGUUCGGGAUAGGGUGUGCACACUCUCGCCUCACGAAAUUGGAGAAGCUAGUGUAUAUGCAGAUAAGCACACGGUGCGCGGAGAUACGUUUCCGGGUCUUUGCACACCGCCCGUGAAUCACGAAAGAGUUUAACCCCCAGAAGCAGUUAGCUUAACCUCGGAGGAGCGUCCAUGGUCAUGC